RNAcentral lists this transfer RNA (73 nucleotides) under Camelus bactrianus (Bactrian camel). It matches the Rfam family "tRNA". Rfam says of the family: Transfer RNA (tRNA) molecules are approximately 80 nucleotides in length. Their secondary structure includes four short double-helical elements and three loops (D, anti-codon, and T loops). The record is from Rfam by way of RNAcentral. RNAcentral also lists the same sequence under 2 other names. Lineage: Eukaryota; Metazoa; Chordata; Mammalia; Artiodactyla; Camelidae.
GAGGGUAUAGCUCAAGUGGUAGAGUGCAUCCUUGGCAUGCACAAGGUCCUGGGUUCAAUCCCCAGUACCUCCU